UAUUUAUUAGGCGCUUUGUAUUUUCAGGAUGUUUGCAAUCUACACACAUUUAUAUUUGAAUACAAUGAGCUCAUUGCUGCUUCAUUCGAUUUGAUGGAGUGCAAUUCAUUUUGGACAAUACAAACAGCUAUUUAUUGUUGCGUCAAUUACUUCAAUGAGAUAACAAGUGUAUUUGUAUAAUAGAUUCACUGCCCACCAGUCCAUUUAUUUCUAUCACCGUCAUCUUAUCGCAGUUUAAUCUGUUCCGCUCAGGUUAGUUGAUCGCAUACAGUUGAUCGAGCCAUAAAUUGCAAAAUGUUUCGAACGUUGUGCAUUUCAAUCGUUUUAUUUUUAGUCACGGUCAAUGGGUACGAGGUGCAUAAAACCAAAGACAUAACUAUACACUAUGCGGAAGGUGAUCGAUGUGGAUAUAAUCGUCAGUAUACGUAUUGUGGAAAUUUGUGUAACACAACGUGCAGUACAUGGAAUUAUUUAUGUGAGCCGGAAUGUUAUCGCGGAUGUUUAUGCUCACCGGGUCACGCUGAAACUCGAAUAUUUGGUGGAACAUGUGUUCCAAUCAACUCGCCGCUUUGCAAAUGGGAUCGAAUGAGAAGAAACUAAUGACACAAUUACAAUCAAUUAGUAGCUAAUGCAGUCAAUUAAUUGGUUCAAGUGCAAUUUUUUUGUAACUUUGUACGAUUUUAGAUAAUUUCUAAUAAAGCGACGAGCAUAUUCAUGUUUGUCAAACAUUGUUUGAAUAAGAAA
Molecule: long non-coding RNA, 744 nt
Organism: Contarinia nasturtii (swede midge)
Lineage: Eukaryota; Metazoa; Arthropoda; Insecta; Diptera; Cecidomyiidae
Exons: 2
Source: RefSeq, a predicted model, not a curated record